CACUCAAUAGUAAUAUUUAAAAUUGAAGGUUGUUUGUUCGUUGUUUUUAAUAUAGUUGUGGUUAUGUGAGUCUCAGUAAAACUGUGGAGUAUACAGGCAUACCUGAAAUAAUGCUCUGCUGUAUCGACCCAAGUGAGUACUGAGAAAGCACAGCAUCAGUCUAGAGGUAUUAAUUCAGAUACAUCUCAGCAAUGGUGGUGUUUAAAGCUCUCAGAGAGGGAAGGCUCUGUGCCAGCCACCAAGAAAAACAGGUCUCAUCUAUCCUAGGCGAAGGCAGGGCAUUGCUUUUCAAGGCACUUGAUGUGUUUCACUCUUUCUUCUUUUGCAGAGGGUGGGUAUUCCUGGCCUGAGAAUCACGGGAAAUUAGCUCCUUCUGGCUUCCCGGUGGGGGUAUCCAAGGGUCCAUAAACCUCUGCUCUAAAUCGCUGUGUUCAUGGUUAACCUGGUGUAAUUAAUGUGAAAUUCAGCUCCAGAUAUCCAAAAUCUCUACGUGCCAUAAAUAAAUAAAUAAAUAAAUAAAUAAAUAAAAUAUGUGCUUAGAAUCAAGGAGGCAGGCCAGAUUUUCAUGUUAAUGGCUGACGGUGACCCCUCCAAAGGGCAUGCCAAGGGUGAGAGAGGGGAAGCUGUUUCUGACCCCCCAAGCAUAGAUUUGUCUGAAUGGCUCUCAGGGAGGAUUCUUACCAGAAAAAGACUCUGUCAAGUUCCUGGUAAUCUGAUUUGUUGA
This 724-nucleotide long non-coding RNA is filed under the name Anser cygnoides (Swan goose). Its description in RNAcentral is "lncRNA (ENSACDG00005001556.1)". Lineage: Eukaryota; Metazoa; Chordata; Aves; Anseriformes; Anatidae. The record is from RNAcentral.